RNAcentral lists this ribosomal RNA (946 nucleotides) under Aspergillus flavus. RNAcentral's name for it is "eukaryotic LSU rRNA". The stretch from base 339 to 946 matches the Rfam family "Eukaryotic large subunit ribosomal RNA", at positions 1 to 624 of the family's 3401-position model. Lineage: Eukaryota; Fungi; Ascomycota; Eurotiomycetes; Eurotiales; Aspergillaceae. The record is from RNAcentral.
GCAAUCAGUUAAAACUUUCAACAAUGGAUCUCUUGGUUCCGGCAUCGAUGAAGAACGCAGCGAAAUGCGAUAACUAGUGUGAAUUGCAGAAUUCCGUGAAUCAUCGAGUCUUUGAACGCACAUUGCGCCCCCUGGUAUUCCGGGGGGCAUGCCUGUCCGAGCGUCAUUGCUGCCCAUCAAGCACGGCUUGUGUGUUGGGUCGUCGUCCCCUCUCCGGGGGGGACGGGCCCCAAAGGCAGCGGCGGCACCGCGUCCGAUCCUCGAGCGUAUGGGGCUUUGUCACCCGCUCUGUAGGCCCGGCCGGCGCUUGCCGAACGCAAAUCAAUCUUUUUCCAGGUUGACCUCGGAUCAGGUAGGGAUACCCGCUGAACUUAAGCAUAUCAAUAAGCGGAGGAAAAGAAACCAACCGGGAUUGCCUCAGUAACGGCGAGUGAAGCGGCAAGAGCUCAAAUUUGAAAGCUGGCUCCUUCGGGGUCCGCAUUGUAAUUUGCAGAGGAUGCUUCGGGUGCGGCCCCUGUCUAAGUGCCCUGGAACGGGCCGUCAGAGAGGGUGAGAAUCCCGUCUGGGAUGGGGUGUCCGCGCCCGUGUGAAGCUCCUUCGACGAGUCGAGUUGUUUGGGAAUGCAGCUCUAAAUGGGUGGUAAAUUUCAUCUAAAGCUAAAUACUGGCCGGAGACCGAUAGCGCACAAGUAGAGUGAUCGAAAGAUGAAAAGCACUUUGAAAAGAGAGUUAAAAAGCACGUGAAAUUGUUGAAAGGGAAGCGCUUGCGACCAGACUCGCCUCCAGGGUUCAGCCGGCAUUCGUGCCGGUGUACUUCCCUGGGGGCGGGCCAGCGUCGGUUUGGGCGGCCGGUCAAAGGCUCCCGGAAUGUAGUGCCCUCCGGGGCACCUUAUAGCCGGGAGUGCAAUGCGGCCAGCCUGGACCGAGGAACGCGCUUCGGCACGGAC